GUCUUUGUAGCUAAGUGGCAGAGCACUGGUCUGGUAAACCAGGGGUCGUGAGUUCAAACCUCACAGGAGUCA
This 72-nucleotide transfer RNA is filed under the name Acanthoscelides obtectus. It matches the Rfam family "tRNA". From Rfam's summary of the family: Transfer RNA (tRNA) molecules are approximately 80 nucleotides in length. Their secondary structure includes four short double-helical elements and three loops (D, anti-codon, and T loops). The record is from Rfam by way of RNAcentral. Lineage: Eukaryota; Metazoa; Arthropoda; Insecta; Coleoptera; Chrysomelidae.